AACUGAAGAGUUUGAUCAUGGCUCAGAUUGAACGCUGGCGGCAGGCUUAACACAUGCAAGUCGAGCGGGGGAAGGUAGCUUGCUACCGGACCUAGCGGCGGACGGGUGAGUAAUGCUUAGGAAUCUGCCUAUUAGUGGGGGACAACAUCUCGAAAGGGAUGCUAAUACCGCAUACGUCCUACGGGAGAAAGCAGGGGAUCUUCGGACCUUGCGCUAAUAGAUGAGCCUAAG
This 231-nucleotide ribosomal RNA is filed under the name Acinetobacter baumannii. Its description in RNAcentral is "partial 16S ribosomal RNA". It matches the Rfam family "Bacterial small subunit ribosomal RNA", at positions 1 to 235 of the family's 1533-position model. The record is from RNAcentral. Lineage: Bacteria; Pseudomonadati; Pseudomonadota; Gammaproteobacteria; Moraxellales; Moraxellaceae.